Molecule: ribosomal RNA, 964 nt
Filed under: Mycobacterium tuberculosis variant bovis
Lineage: Bacteria; Bacillati; Actinomycetota; Actinomycetes; Mycobacteriales; Mycobacteriaceae
Description: bacterial SSU rRNA
Rfam family: Bacterial small subunit ribosomal RNA
Source: RNAcentral
AGAGUUUGAUCCUGGCUCAGGACGAACGCUGGCGGCGUGCUUAACACAUGCAAGUCGAACGGAAAGGUCUCUUCGGAGAUACUCGAGUGGCGAACGGGUGAGUAACACGUGGGUGAUCUGCCCUGCACUUCGGGAUAAGCCUGGGAAACUGGGUCUAAUACCGGAUAGGACCACGGGAUGCAUGUCUUGUGGUGGAAAGCGCUUUAGCGGUGUGGGAUGAGCCCGCGGCCUAUCAGCUUGUUGGUGGGGUGACGGCCUACCAAGGCGACGACGGGUAGCCGGCCUGAGAGGGUGUCCGGCCACACUGGGACUGAGAUACGGCCCAGACUCCUACGGGAGGCAGCAGUGGGGAAUAUUGCACAAUGGGCGCAAGCCUGAUGCAGCGACGCCGCGUGGGGGAUGACGGCCUUCGGGUUGUAAACCUCUUUCACCAUCGACGAAGGUCCGGGUUCUCUCGGAUUGACGGUAGGUGGAGAAGAAGCACCGGCCAACUACGUGCCAGCAGCCGCGGUAAUACGUAGGGUGCGAGCGUUGUCCGGAAUUACUGGGCGUAAAGAGCUCGUAGGUGGUUUGUCGCGUUGUUCGUGAAAUCUCACGGCUUAACUGUGAGCGUGCGGGCGAUACGGGCAGACUAGAGUACUGCAGGGGAGACUGGAAUUCCUGGUGUAGCGGUGGAAUGCGCAGAUAUCAGGAGGAACACCGGUGGCGAAGGCGGGUCUCUGGGCAGUAACUGACGCUGAGGAGCGAAAGCGUGGGGAGCGAACAGGAUUAGAUACCCUGGUAGUCCACGCCGUAAACGGUGGGUACUAGGUGUGGGUUUCCUUCCUUGGGAUCCGUGCCGUAGCUAACGCAUUAAGUACCCCGCCUGGGGAGUACGGCCGCAAGGCUAAAACUCAAAGGAAUUGACGGGGGCCCGCACAAGCGGCGGAGCAUGUGGAUUAAUUCGAUGCAACGCGAAGAACCU